Molecule: long non-coding RNA, 1014 nt
Filed under: Oryctolagus cuniculus (rabbit)
Lineage: Eukaryota; Metazoa; Chordata; Mammalia; Lagomorpha; Leporidae
Description: lncRNA (ENSOCUG00000039325.1)
Source: RNAcentral
AUGGCAGGUGCACAGAGAAAGGCCCAGAAGGAAAUGGAACGGGGGGGGGGGGGUGACGGGUGCUGUUGUCUCUCAGUGUCUGGCGCGGAGGGGUGUGUCCAACCCAGAGCCCAAGGUGACCCCUGGGCCCGGGAGCUCGCCCAGAACAGGAAAAAACACAGCUGCAGCCUUGCAGGACCAGACAGGAACAGCAGCUCUGGCGCGCGCGCGGUGGUACUCACCCCUCCGGGCCGCGCCGCCUGGCCCGUCAGCCUGGCUUUGGCAGCCCAGCAGGGGCGGGCGCUGCAGCAUCUGGCGGCCCUCCUCCAGCAGCAUGAUCAGCAGCAGCCUGCGCUGGUUCCAGGGCACGAAGGCCUUGGCAGCCAACAGCGCUUCCUCUGGCCAAAGCCUGCACGCGGUGACAUAGUCCAAUGUGCCCAGGAAGGCGCUGCUGGCCAGCACCUGCAGCAGCCCGCGGCCACACAGCGUGCACGCAGCCGCCAAGGUGCGGCGCGCCCUGCUCCACCACAGCCUGGAAGUCUUCCCGGGCGCCCCGCGCGUCCCUGCCAUGCAGCGCGCAAAAGCCUCGCAGCGCCAGCAGCGGUGCGCGCUCCCCGGCGCGGACCUUGGUGGCAUCCCCAGGGCCAGCGGGCCGCAGCAGGCCCUCGCACAGAGCUCGGACGCCCGCCACGUCCCCGGCCAGCAGCAGGCACUCGGCCAGGAGGGUUCCCAGCGCAGGCUGGGCCCCGGUUAGUGCCACGCGGAGCAGGAUUCAGAGCGCCCAAGUCACCUGUGCCAGCAGCUCGCGAUCCGCGUCUUCGCGGAGCUCGGGGCAGCUCCGCACGGCCUCCUGGAAGCUGGCGAAGCCCAGGUCCGCGGCCUCCUGGGCCUGGGCCCGGACGCGCUCCUGGUCCCGGACGGACAGCAUGGCCUGGAACUGCCAGCGUGCGGCGGAGGGGCUCUCGCGGCAGGCGUCGUGCAGAUCCCGCAGCAUGUCCGCCGCGAGGCCGUCCAGGAAGAAGGCGGCGAGCGUGA